UGCACAAUGGGGGAAACCCUGAUGCAGCAACGCCGCGUGAGUGAUGACGGCCUUCGGGUUGUAAAGCUCUGUCUUCAGGGACGAUAAUGACGGUACCUGAGGAGGAAGCCACGGCUAACUACGGGCCAGCAGCCGCGGUAAUACGUAGGUGGCAGGCGUUGUCCGGAUUUACUGGGCGUAAAGGGAGCGUAGGCGGACUUUUAAGUGAGAUGUGAAAUACCCGGGCUCAACCUGGGUGCUGCAUUUCAAACUGGAAGUCUAGGGUGCAGGAGAGGAGCGUGGGAUGCCUAGUGUAGCGGUGAAAUGCGUAGAGAUUAGGAAGAAC
RNAcentral lists this ribosomal RNA (325 nucleotides) under uncultured bacterium. RNAcentral describes it as "bacterial SSU rRNA". It matches the Rfam family "Bacterial small subunit ribosomal RNA", at positions 365 to 707 of the family's 1533-position model. The record is from RNAcentral.